Molecule: long non-coding RNA, 348 nt
Organism: Pipra filicauda (Wire-tailed manakin)
Lineage: Eukaryota; Metazoa; Chordata; Aves; Passeriformes; Pipridae
Exons: 3
Source: RefSeq, a predicted model, not a curated record
CACGAGGAAGCUGUAGAUUGCUAUGAGGUCUCCCCUCAGUCUCAUCCAAGCUGAACAAAUCCCCCUUUGCCUGGUGCGAGGGAGACACGCAGCCCUCCGGCAUUUUCUCCGAGGGAAAGGGUUUUUGAGCUGAAUCAAGUCACAGAAGGGUCUAAUGAGAGCCAGAACCUCUCAAGGAAAAAGAAUGGAAGCAGGAUCUUCUCCUUUUGAUAUCAGCAAGCCUCCAGAUUGUGUCACAGUGCUUCAGACCAAAAGGAGACCCUUUCAAAGAAUACAGCCUUUAAUCUGGAGGCAAACACGUGCCCUGUUUGAAGCCCUCAUCUCUUUUACAAUGACUAGUGUUGCUGC